GACGAACGCUGGCGGCGUGCUUAACACAUGCAAGUCGAGCGAGGCCCCACCCUCGGGUGGGUGUCCUAGCGGCGAACGGGUGAAUAACACGUGGGCAACCUGCCCUCAGCACUGGGAUAACCCCGGGAAACCGGGGCGUAAUACCGGAUACGACCACAGGCGGCAUCUUCUUGUGGUGGAAAGAUUUAUCGGCUGAGGAUGGGCCCGCGGCCUAUCAGCUUGUUGGUGGGGUAACUGCCUACCAAGGCAACGACGGGUAGCCGGCCUGAGAGGGCG
RNAcentral lists this ribosomal RNA (276 nucleotides) under uncultured bacterium. RNAcentral describes it as "partial 16S ribosomal RNA". It matches the Rfam family "Bacterial small subunit ribosomal RNA", at positions 28 to 302 of the family's 1533-position model. The record is from RNAcentral.